CCUACGGGGGGCAGCAGUGAGGAAUAUUGGUCAAUGGGCGCUAGCCUGAACCAGCCACGCAGCGUGAAGGAUGACUGCCCUCUGGGUUGUAAACUUCUUUUAUAUGGGACUAAAGUGCAGUAUGUAUACUGCUUUGCAUGUACCUUAUGCAUAAGGAUCGGCUAACUCCGUGCCAGCAGCCGCGGUAAUACGGAGGAUCCGGGCGUUAUCCGGGUUUGUUGGGGUUAAAGGGAGGGGAGGGGGGUUGUUAAGGCAGUGGUGAAAGUUUGCGGCUCAAACGUAAGAUUGCAGUUGAUACUGGGAUCCUUGAGUACAGUAGAGGUAGGCGGAAUUCGUGGUGUAGCGGUGAAAUGCUUAGAUAUCACGAAGAACUCCGAUUGCGAAGGCAGCCUGCUGGACUGUAACUGACGCUGAUGCUCGAAAGUGUGGGUAUCAAACAGGAUUAGAUACCCUGGUAGUC
Molecule: ribosomal RNA, 460 nt
Filed under: uncultured bacterium
Lineage: Bacteria
Description: partial 16S ribosomal RNA
Rfam family: Bacterial small subunit ribosomal RNA
Source: RNAcentral